UUCAGUGUGGCAGACUAGUGCAAUGAACUUAAGAUUCAUACAUAAAUUAAAAUAUUUCUCUGAAA
RNAcentral lists this transfer RNA (65 nucleotides) under Orosius orientalis. RNAcentral describes it as "tRNA-Leu". Lineage: Eukaryota; Metazoa; Arthropoda; Insecta; Hemiptera; Cicadellidae. The record is from RNAcentral.